AUGUGGCAAGAUAUUGUUCGGGCGCGCUACCUGACUAACAAAUCUGUGGCCUCGGUUAAGCCCAGGUUUUCUGAUUCCCCUUGCUGGAAAGCCCUGCUUAAAGUCAAAGAUAUUUACUUUGUGGGCAGAAGGAUCCAUCUGGAAUCUGGUGACCUAGUUAGAGUCUGGAAAGAUUCCAUAAACGGGCUGAGUCCUUUCCAGACCCUUUACCCUUCGCUGUUUGAGAUUUGUAAUGAUCAGGAUUGCACUAUUGAUAGGUUCAAAUCUGUGGAUGUCCAUUCUUUCUUCAGAAGGAGGCUCACGCCUGAGCUGUCCUGUCAAUGGGGAGAAAUAAGUAAUAUGAUC
Molecule: ribosomal RNA, 345 nt
Filed under: Triticum aestivum (bread wheat)
Lineage: Eukaryota; Viridiplantae; Streptophyta; Magnoliopsida; Poales; Poaceae
Description: partial small subunit ribosomal RNA
Source: RNAcentral